Pogoniulus pusillus (Red-fronted tinkerbird) is the source of this 1291-nucleotide long non-coding RNA. RefSeq lists it as uncharacterized. Lineage: Eukaryota; Metazoa; Chordata; Aves; Piciformes; Lybiidae. The transcript has 2 exons. The record is from RefSeq and is a predicted model, not a curated record.
UUUCUCUGCGAGGUGCGGGAGGCCGGAGCGCGGAGGGAUACGACGCACGGGGAGGAGGGGCUGCGGCGGGGCAGCGGCUAUUCGCGGCGACGGCGGCGGGGAGGCUGGAAGUUACCGAGUUUCAGUGGCGCAGAAAUGGGAAGCGAGCGAAGCCAAAAUGCCUCCGGGGAGCGUGGCCCCGUUGGGGAGGCGGGCUGAGGAAGCCCAGCCUUUCUCUACUCCACUCUUCUCCGCCCUCGUUCUCUGCGGCUUCUCCACCCCCCGUAGUCAGGCCCCUCUCGGGCGCGGGGCUUUGGCUGCCCCGAGCUCUGUCGGAGCCCGCCGAGGGCCUCCGGGUGCUGUGGUUUUGGCAUCUGCGCCUAAGUGCCAGUGUCAGGCGUUGUUGGUUCUUACUCUUGCAACAUCCUGCCCGGGGACGCCUUCGUGCCUUGGGUUCGGGCGAAGGGAAAUCCCAACAAGCACCAAACAACCAGAAACGCACUUUUCCCCGCGGCUUGGGAGGGCUGCCUGGGCAGCUCUGCUCGGCUCUGGGUGUCUAGGGGUGAAGGGCUCGCAGGUGCACUCGCUUUGGAAACUCUCCUUCGAAAACAAACGACCCCAAACAUCUAAUAGUGAUUUUAUUCAUUACUCUUGCCGACAACCAAACUAGACACGGGGGAAUGACGAAUCUUCUGGCUUCUAGGAGCGAUAGCAAGCGGAGCAGUGUUGUCAACGCGAGGAGAGCCGAGGGAUGGUGAUGCCUGCAACCUAUGGCUGAACUGGAGGUGUGUUUCCGAGGCCGGUGAGCUUGGUGCAGGAGUCUGCUGCUUCAGCUUUGUGCUUGACAACAGUGAGAAAGCUUGCUGCAGCCACCCUUCUGCUUCGCUGCACAAACAUAACCCUGAAGGGUUAGAGAAAGGAGGCUAAAAUGUCACACUUCUGAAAAACCAUGUUACCAGAAGUGAUGGAAAUGAGGUUCGUACAGCAGGUGCCUAGUUGCUGUGCGUUUUGAUGUACAAUUAUCCAAUGUCCUAAAAAUCCUUGAAAUCGUCUAGCAUGUGGUGUGUAAUCACAGGGGUAAAUGUGUUUUGUAGCGUAUGUUUUUGAGAAGUAAAUUUCUGCACAGUAGUUUUGAUCAGUUUAUCUGUAGUUACACUCACUUUAUACAUUUUAAAAGGGAUAAGUGUCUCCCUUUCCCCUGUUUUUAUGAUAAUAACCACUCUGUUUCAGCUUUAUUUUAACUCCAUGCUUCCAACAACUGAGAGAGCAGUGAAAUCACAGUUACUAGCUAAUAAAGAUUUUUAAACCCAAA